CAUUGGUUCUAUUUUGAUGGUUUAAGGGCCGAUGUAAUGAUUAAUAGGGACGGUUGGGGACAUUUAUAUUCCAUGGCUAGAGGUGAAAUUCUUGGAUUCAUGGAAGAUAAACUGCUGCGAAAGCGCCUGUCAAAGACGUUUUCAUUGAUCAAGAACGAAAGUUAGGGGAGCAAAGAUGAUCAGAUACCGUCGUAGUCUUAACCAUAAACGAUGCCGACUAGGGAUCGGUGGGUGUUAGUUUGAUGACCCCAUCGGCACCUCGUGGGAAACCAAAGUCUUUGGGUUCCGGGGGGAGUAUGGUCGCAAGGCUGAAACUUAAAGGAAUUGACGGAAGGGCACCACCAGGAGUGGAGCCUGCGGCUUAAUUUGACUCAACACGGGAAACUCACC
This 390-nucleotide ribosomal RNA is filed under the name Eukaryota sp. RNAcentral describes it as "SSU rRNA". It matches the Rfam family "Eukaryotic small subunit ribosomal RNA", at positions 828 to 1219 of the family's 1831-position model. The record is from RNAcentral.